CCUGUCAACCCUUUUAGCACGUGUCAAAAACUCAAAGAAAAAGACGAUGACUUUGAAGUCUACAAGUCAUAUUUCUGUGAACGAGUGAACUGGCAACAUGUCGAGCCCGUAAGUAACUAGGUUUUUCCUAUAGAAAUUAUAGCAAGUCACAGUAAAAUCUUGAACCCAGAACAACAACAACAACAGCAGCUGGAUCAAUUGGUUCCUCGGAAUCAAGGGCAACGAGUUCCUCUGCCACGUGCCCACCAACUACUUUCAGGACACGUUCAACCAGAUCGGCCUGGAGUACUUUAGCCAGCACUGGACGUGAUCCUGAAGCCGGUGUUCGACAGUUCCUCGGGCUUGUUCUACGACGAUGAGAAAAAGUGGUACGGCAUGAUUCACGCCCGAUACAUCAGGUCGGAGCGUGGCGUGAAUGAUAUGCACCGAAACUAUAUGAGAGGAGACUUUGAAUCGUGUCCAAAUACCUCCUGUAAUAGGAAGAACACCCUUCCAGUGGGACUCAGCGAUGUGUGGGGCAAGUCAACGGUGAAGAUCUACUGCCCACGCUGUAAAAACUACUUCCAUCCUAAAACUGAUACAUUUCUUUUUUAAUUUCUUUAAAUAUACAAAUUCUGUUUUAAUGUAUUAUAGUAGUGAGUAGAAGGUUAAAACAUUAUUUUCAAUUUCAAAUAAAAUUAAAAUUUUGAUUCCAUCAUUCUUAUGUAAUUCUUUUUGUAGAGUAUUCAAUACUGGCAACUUCGUAUUUUAGUUUGAUUUUCCAUGCUGUUUUUGGUUAAUUUCCAACAUACCAGAUUGAUUUCGCGCGUAAAUUUAAACGCACUUUAUUGCCUUUUUGGAAGAACGUUGCUUCAAAACGGAAAAUCGAAGGAAACCCUGACCGGACCUAAGGGACAGCCUUGGGGGGAAAACUGGCAGUGCAUUUUCCCAGCCCCAAAGAUUUUCCCCGGCACGUCGGGGAACUUAUUAUGAAAUAAAAGAACUAAUACUUAUUAUGCUAGCCGAACAUAACACGAAUUUUCGAGUCUAGAGUUCCCAUCUGCAAGGGCAUGCUUCCAUCCUAAAACUGAUACACAGCCAUGUUUGAGUCCAGCUUCCCGGGCAUCUUCUUAACGCAGCUGCCGAACUUGAGACCGCCCCUGGACGACCCACGGUAAGUAAUUCUCCGAAUAUAGUCCUGGUUGUUUUCUAAACAAAGCGCUUGAACUUGCAGUCCCUAUGCUUUCGGUUGCACCAGAAGGCCUUGAUGCCACUUAAAUCGCCCAAGUCACCAAAGAAAAUCGGAUCCUCGGCCAGCUAGUCAUCCUCCUCGCUCCGGCAUUCCGAAGUCAAGCGCUUCAAUGUUCUUCUAGGGACGACGUGAUUUUUUAACUCCACACAAAAGAAAGCAGAAAUGUUUGUCCGAUAUAUUGUUGCAAUUAAACAGAUUCCGCAGUACGUUGAUAUGGCCAGCUACCACCUACUAAUAUACCUCAUACACCUCUCCUCUAAAUACUUGGUUCAAAGUGUUCGGUCCAAGCUGGUCAUAACAAGCACUCAUUCAAGUAGCAAAGCAUACUUUUCGUUAAUAGUGGUAAUCACCUGGGUAUAAUAAUAUUAAUCAAUAAAACAUUCAAUUCAGUUUUUUAUUUAAUUUUAUGUUAAAAGAGUUUCCAAAAGUGUUUUCCUGACUACAUCAAAUAUUUUUUGAUAAUUUAAUUUCUUUAAAUAUACAAAUUCCGUUUUAAUGUAUUAUAGGAGUGAGUAGAAGGUUAAAACAUUAUUUUCAAUUUCAAAUAAAAUUAAAAUUUUGAUUCCAUCAUUUUUAUGUAAUUCUUUUUGUAGAGUAUUCAAUACUGGCAACUUCGU
This is a non-coding RNA of Drosophila melanogaster (fruit fly), 1848 nucleotides long. NCBI's taxonomy places the organism in Eukaryota, Metazoa, Arthropoda, Insecta, Diptera, Drosophilidae. The record is from Ensembl.